UCGACGAACUCUGGUAUUGAUUGGUGCUUGCAUCAUGAUUUACAUUUGAGUGAGUGGCGAACUGGUGAGUAACACGUGGGAAACCUGCCCAGAAGCGGGGGAUAACACCUGGAAACAGAUGCUAAUACCGCAUAACAACUUGGACCGCAUGGUCCGAGUUUGAAAGAUGGCUUCGGCUAUCACUUUUGGAUGGUCCCGCGGCGUAUUAGCUAGAUGGUGGGGUAACGGCUCACCAUGGCAAUGAUACGUAGCCGACCUGAGAGGGUAAUCGGCCACAUUGGGACUGAGACACGGCCCAAACUCCUACGGGAGGCAGCAGUAGGGAAUCUUCCACAAUGGACGAAAGUCUGAUGGAGCAACGCCGCGUGAGUGAAGAAGGGUUUCGGCUCGUAAAACUCUGUUGUUAAAGAAGAACAUAUCUGAGAGUAACUGUUCAGGUAUUGACGGUAUUUAACCAGAAAGCCACGGCUAACUACGUGCCAGCAGCCGCGGUAAUACGUAGGUGGCAAGCGUUGUCCGGAUUUAUUGGGCGUAAAGCGAGCGCAGGCGGUUUUUUAAGUCUGAUGUGAAAGCCUUCGGCUCAACCGAAGAAGUGCAUCGGAAACUGGGAAACUUGAGUGCAGAAGAGGACAGUGGAACUCCAUGUGUAGCGGUGAAAUGCGUAGAUAUAUGGAAGAACACCAGUGGCGAAGGCGGCUGUCUGGUCUGUAACUGACGCUGAGGCUCGAAAGUAUGGGUA
This 739-nucleotide ribosomal RNA is filed under the name Lactiplantibacillus plantarum. Its description in RNAcentral is "bacterial SSU rRNA". It matches the Rfam family "Bacterial small subunit ribosomal RNA", at positions 62 to 767 of the family's 1533-position model. The record is from RNAcentral. Lineage: Bacteria; Bacillati; Bacillota; Bacilli; Lactobacillales; Lactobacillaceae.